This 257-nucleotide ribosomal RNA is filed under the name uncultured bacterium. RNAcentral describes it as "partial 16S ribosomal RNA". It matches the Rfam family "Bacterial small subunit ribosomal RNA", at positions 524 to 776 of the family's 1533-position model. The record is from RNAcentral.
UACGUAGGGUGCAAGCGUUUGUCCGGAAUUAUUGGGCGUAAAGAGCUCGUAGGCGGUCUGUUGCGUCGGCUGUGAAAACCCGGGGCUCAACUCCGGGCCUGCAGCCGAUACGGGCAGACUAGAGUUCGGCAGGGGAGACUGGAAUUCCUGGUGUAGCGGUGAAAUGCGCAGAUAUCAGGAGGAACACCGGUGGCGAAGGCGGGUCUCUGGGCCGAUACUGACGCUGGAGGUGCGGAAAGCCGUGGGGAUCAAACAGG